GGCUCAGCGGCACAGAAUGCUGUCGCCCUGCUUGUUCACCGCGCCGGCCUGGAACAGCAACCGAACACCAAGGCUCUCACCGGGUCGGUGUUGAGCGCAGUGAGCGGGGUCCGCGGCGGCGCGGCUGGACAGGUCCCGGCCGGGUGGUGUGGCGGCGCGGGCGGUGGUGGCUGCCUCAGCUCUUUACCUGAAGAUGCCUUUCUAAGAAUUCACACUCUAAAUAGGAACCUCCAGUUCACUAAGUAGCCGCCUCAUAGUUGCACAUUAUUCCAACUGUGCAAGCAACAGCUGUGAAUGAGAGAAAUGCAUAUCAUCAUAGAGCUUAUGGAGCUCAAUAUGUUAGUUCUGUUUAUUCAAAAGACCACCUGUGUUUCUGGGGAAACUGGAGAAGUUCCAAAGGAGAAUGAAGACACAGCAGACAGUCAUGAAACCUUCAGAGCCGUAAGCAGAAACAUCAUUGCUUUGGGUUAAACACAAUGUGACAGUCCUGUGGGAAAGCAGCUGGUCUACCUGAGAGUGGGUUUAUGAGCCAAGCUCUGGU
This 541-nucleotide long non-coding RNA is filed under the name Homo sapiens (human). RNAcentral's name for it is "HSALNT0102233". The record is from RNAcentral. Lineage: Eukaryota; Metazoa; Chordata; Mammalia; Primates; Hominidae.